GAGGAAGGUGGGGAUGACGUCAGAUCAUCAUGCCCCUUACGUCCAGGGCUUCACGCAUGCUACAAUGGCCGGUACAACGGGAUGCGACCUCGUGAGGGGGAGCGGAUCCCUUAAAACCGGUCUCAGUUCGGAUUGGAGUCUGCAACCCGACUCCAUGAAGGCGGAGUCGCUAGUAAUCGCGGAUCACCAACGCCGCGGUGAAUGCGUUCCCGGGCCUUGUACACACCGCCCGUCAAGUCAUGAAAGUGGGUAGCACCCGAAGCCGGUGGCCCAACCUUUUGGGGGGAGCCGUCUAAGGUGAGACUCGUGAUUGGGACUAAGUCGUAACAAGGUA
Molecule: ribosomal RNA, 334 nt
Filed under: Bifidobacterium sp.
Lineage: Bacteria; Bacillati; Actinomycetota; Actinomycetes; Bifidobacteriales; Bifidobacteriaceae
Description: SSU rRNA
Rfam family: Bacterial small subunit ribosomal RNA
Source: RNAcentral